RNAcentral lists this ribosomal RNA (160 nucleotides) under Psidium cinereum. Its description in RNAcentral is "5.8S ribosomal RNA". It matches the Rfam family "5.8S ribosomal RNA". Rfam says of the family: 5.8S ribosomal RNA (5.8S rRNA) is a component of the large subunit of the eukaryotic ribosome. It is transcribed by RNA polymerase I as part of the 45S precursor that also contains 18S and 28S rRNA. Lineage: Eukaryota; Viridiplantae; Streptophyta; Magnoliopsida; Myrtales; Myrtaceae. The record is from RNAcentral.
UAACUGACUCUCGGCAACGGAUAUCUCGGCUCUCGCAUCGAUGAAGAACGUAGCGAACUGCGAUACUUGGUGUGAAUUGCAGAAUCCCGUGAACCAUCGAGUCUUUGAACGCAAGUUGCGCCCGAAGCCGUUUGGCCGAGGGCACGUUUGCCUGGGUGUC